This 1123-nucleotide long non-coding RNA is filed under the name Heterocephalus glaber (naked mole-rat). RNAcentral describes it as "lncRNA (ENSHGLG00100051071.1)". The record is from RNAcentral. Lineage: Eukaryota; Metazoa; Chordata; Mammalia; Rodentia; Bathyergidae.
UGGUGAUGCCCUUCCAGCAACACAGUGAAAGAGCCUGUACACGGGAAAAGAAUUCUGAUGUCACAGGUCCCAUCAAUCACUACCCUUUUGCUCUUCAGUAUUUAUAAAUCGCUUCUUCCCAGCAGCUAGGCGGUCAAUGUUUUUGAAUAACCCUAGUCCCUGUCUUCCAUGGCCACACACACACUCACACACACCCCAGGUAUAAACAUACCCCUUUCUUCUCAUUUCUAACUUCUCAGGAUGUCCAUAUGCAUUUGCAGAACCUUUAGGAGCUCUUGUAAUAAAACUGGAAAAUACAUGCUUACUCUUCUGGAUCCGACAAAGGAGAAGAAACUCAAGAUACUUCCCUUCACUCGGAAUAUUCCUUCCUCAUCCAGGAGGGUGUUGUACCACCUCUGCCUGAUUGCAUUUUUCACGGAGACAAGAGCCAAGGUGCCAAGCAGCACUGGCCCGAAACACUCGGGACCGCUGUGCGGAGCGCUUGUCCUUGCCUUCCCGGGGUGCCCUGGGGUGGAAUCCCAGCACCUCCCCUCCAGCCCAGGGACCCCCGAGCCAAGCCUGCCUCACCUGGUACCUUGGCAGCUGCUCCUUCACGUGGUGUGAAGGUCCCCCCGAAGAACUACAGGAGGAGAUGCUGCUGUUUCCUUGCCAGCUCCUGGCCGACGUCCUGCCGGUGACAUCCCCCGCUUUCUGGCACACUCCCUGGAGCAAUAGUCUCAGCCCACGGUCAGCUCCUGUCCGGUUACUCACCAACAGCUCCACCUGGUUAUUAGUGGUCAUCAGUGGGCACACUAAUACGUGCCUAUUGGGGUGAGGGGUGUGCUCACUUUGUUCUGAGCCUUGAGUGGCACUCUACUACAGCUUAAGGCAGAGACUGCAGAUUAGUGACUAUCCAAGGGGUGGUUAGGACAAAUGAAAAAAGUGAAGGCAAACAGCACGUCAUACCUGAGCUGCCACCUCUUCAAUCUUCUGAACAGCUUUGGAAUCAAACAAGACUUGUCUGCCCCUCCUCUCACAGUCCUGGUAAACUAUCAGGCGGAUCUCACUCAGGUCAAGCUCUGAACAUGACCAGCUGCAGUUGGAAGCUGAGCCAUACUGUUUGGGGCCAACAUCUGUGGAAUCA